AACGAACGCUGGCGGCAUGCCUAACACAUGCAAGUCGAACGAGACCUUCGGGUCUAGUGGCGCACGGGUGCGUAACGCGUGGGAACCUGCCCUUAGGUUCGGAAUAACUCCCCGAAAGGGGUGCUAAUACCGGAUAAUGUCUUCGGACCAAAGAUUUAUCGCCUUUGGAUGGGCCCGCGUUGGAUUAGCUAGUUGGUAGGGUAAAAGCCUACCAAGGCGACGAUCCAUAGCUGGUAUGAGAGGAUGAUCAGCCACACUGGGACUGAGACACGGCCCAGACUCCUACGGGAGGCAGCAGUGGGGAAUAUUGGACAAUGGGCGAAAGCCUGAUCCAGCAAUGCCGCGUGAGUGAUGAAGGCCUUAGGGUUGUAAAGCUCUUUUACCCGGGAUGAUAAUGACAUUACCGGGAGAAUAAGCUCCGGCUAACUCCGUG
RNAcentral lists this ribosomal RNA (433 nucleotides) under uncultured bacterium. Its description in RNAcentral is "partial 16S ribosomal RNA". It matches the Rfam family "Bacterial small subunit ribosomal RNA", at positions 29 to 507 of the family's 1533-position model. The record is from RNAcentral.